GGAGAGAGGAGAACUGUUUUGUGGCAAGUUUUGUAUUUUAAAACUGGGCAGAGAAUGGUAUUUGGACAAGGCCGUUGAAUAGUUUUAGACUGUAUUGAAAGUUUGUACCUAAAAGUGAGUUGAAUGGCAUGAAAGAAACUCCUUUAUAUUCUAUUGAGCUGUGAUGUGCUUUGGUGGAACACAAAAAGAAAAACAGUGAACAGAAUAUUAAAAAGCAUUCAACAAAACCCUUCAAACAGCAUAAAAACUAAACACCAUAGACCAUAGGACCUGCUGGUUAAAUGUAAUUGCAAAAAAAGUCUCUUCUUUUUUCUCUCCUUUUUGCAAAUGACACUGUUUUAUAUAUAAUGGAGGGAUUUUCACUAGGGUCUGGAGUUCCGAAAUGUUUGUGAAAUACAUUUUACAAAUUUAUUUAUUUUUACAUUUUACAGGCCUGCUUUUCCAAUGGUCACUUGGACUGUGUAUCCUGUGCACCUGUUGUUUCUGCAAUGUUCCCGAGUCAUGGUAAUAGUAUGCGUGUUGAUUACAGCUGUUGAAGUGCAGCUGUGUUCAGUUCUGAUCCCCUUCUUUCUCUCCUUGUGUCUUACAUGAAGACAUGAUGCUUCUUAAACACAUAUAUUACUGUUCAAAAGUGUGGUGUCAGUAAGGUUUUUUAAAUGGUUUAAGAAAAAAAAAAAUUGUGCUCACCAAGACUACAUUUAUUUGAUUAAAAAAACAGUAAUGCUGUGAAAUAUUAUUACAAUUUAAAAUAACUGUUUUCUGCUAUAUUUUAAAAUGUAAUUAAUUCCUGUGAUGGCAAAGCUGAAUUUUCACCAUCAUUACUCUAGUUUUCAGUGUCACAUGAUCCUUCAGCAAAUGCUGAUUUGCUGUUCAUGAAACAUUUCUUAUAAUCAUAAAUGUUGAAAAGAGUUGUCUUUUUUUUAGGAUUCUUUGAUGAAUAGAAAGUUCAAAAGAACAGCAUUUAUUUGAAAUAAAAAAAUUGUAACAUUUAUAAAUAUCUUUGGU
This is a long non-coding RNA of Cyprinus carpio (common carp), 1005 nucleotides long. The record is from Ensembl. Lineage: Eukaryota; Metazoa; Chordata; Actinopteri; Cypriniformes; Cyprinidae.